GACGAACGCUGGCGGCGUGCCUAAUACAUGCAAGUCGAGCGCAGAAGCUCUGUACUUGUACCAAGUGCAUGAGCAGCGAACGGGUGAGUAACGCGUGUGGAAUCUGCCUUUGAGCGGGGGACAACAUUGGGAAACGAGUGCUAAUACCGCAUAAAAACUUUAAACACAAGGUUUAAGGUUGAAAGAUGCAAUUGCAUCACGCAAACAUGAUCCCUCGUCGUAUUAGCUAGUUGGUGAGGUAAAGGCUCACCAAGGCGAUGAGACAUAGCCAAACUGACAGGGUGGUCGGCCACAUUGGGAGUGGGACCCGGGCCAAACUCCUACGGGAGGGAGCCGUAGGGAAUCUUCGGGCAUGGGGGGAAGUCUGAACGCGCAAGGCCGAGUCAGUGAAGAAGGUUUUCGGAUGCUAAAACUCUGUUGGUGGGGAAGAACGUUGGUGCGCGUGGAAAGCUCAUGAAGUGACGGUAACUACUCAGAAAGCGACGGCUAACUACGUG
Molecule: ribosomal RNA, 497 nt
Filed under: uncultured bacterium
Lineage: Bacteria
Description: partial 16S ribosomal RNA
Rfam family: Bacterial small subunit ribosomal RNA
Source: RNAcentral